GUCAUACGCUCGUCUCAAAGAUUAAGCCAUGCAUGUGUAAGUAUAAAUAGUUAACUUUGAAACUGCGAAUGGCUCAUUAUAUCAGUUAUAGUUUAUUUGAUGAAGAAUACUAAUUGGAUAACCGUAGUAAUUCUAGAGCUAAUACAUGUAUAAAGUCUUGUAGACUGCAUUUAUUAGAAUGAAAACCAUAGGUUUCGGCCUAUUCGUGAGUAAUAAUAACUAAUCAUAUCGUAUGCUUAUGUAACGAUGUGUCUUUCAAGUUUCUGCCCUAUCAGCUUUCGAUGGUAGUG
Molecule: ribosomal RNA, 290 nt
Filed under: Blastocystis sp.
Lineage: Eukaryota; Bigyra; Opalinata; Blastocystidae
Description: partial small subunit ribosomal RNA
Rfam family: Eukaryotic small subunit ribosomal RNA
Source: RNAcentral